This is a long non-coding RNA of Oxyura jamaicensis (ruddy duck), 483 nucleotides long. RefSeq lists it as uncharacterized. The transcript has 2 exons. Lineage: Eukaryota; Metazoa; Chordata; Aves; Anseriformes; Anatidae. The record is from RefSeq and is a predicted model, not a curated record.
UCAUUUUCUCCACAAAGGCAUCUUCUGCAUUUCUGUUUAUCUUUGUAUGUUUUUAAUCUUCUAUUUAAUCUUUAUAUUCUAUUAACUUUAUGAUUAUUAUUUGUUUGAAGUAAAUUAAAGGAAUACAAAUGUGUCUUUCUACAAAAUGAAACAAGUCAUUCCAAAUCAAAUAUUUAAAGAAAAGGUUUUGCUUAUGCACCAUCCUAUGUCAAGCAUAGGAAACCAAUGUCCCACCUCAAUGCAUAAACAGGUUUUCCACACGAGACAUAAGCAUUAAAAGAAAACAAGGUCACUUGUCACUCCUAAACAUCACAACUUUUUGAAGGGUAUUGUUGACCAGAUUUACUGUAUUUUAAUUAUAUUAAGGUUAAACACAGCACUAAACUUUAUCUGUAAGAGACAGAAUAUAUGAUUUUAUUACUAAAGAUAUCAUUUACAAAGCAAAAUAGAGUGAAACAGUUCCUUAGGGAUUGCAGAAACAGA